RNAcentral lists this ribosomal RNA (227 nucleotides) under Salmonella enterica subsp. enterica serovar Worthington str. BCH-4719. RNAcentral describes it as "partial 23S ribosomal RNA". Lineage: Bacteria; Pseudomonadati; Pseudomonadota; Gammaproteobacteria; Enterobacterales; Enterobacteriaceae. The record is from RNAcentral.
UCCUGACUGACCGAUAGUGAACCAGUACCGUGAGGGAAAGGCGAAAAGAAYCCCGGCGAGGGGAGUGAAAAAGAACCUGAAACCGUGUACGUACAAGCAGUGGGAGCACCCUUUGGGGUGUGACUGCGUACCUUUUGUAUAAUGGGUCAGCGACUUAUAUUCUGUAGCAAGGUUAACCGCAUAGGGGAGCCGUAGGGAAACCGAGUCUUAACCGGGCGUUAAGUUGC